AGAUGCCCCCAGAUGGCAGGACACACAAGGGACACAUAUCUCCGGAAAGAGGAGGCACAUGGUUGGGCAAUCUCGACCCAUGAAGGGGGAAAAGAAAAGGGCUAAACUGAAGCUAGUGCAGCUUUUGUUCUGCCUGGAGCAGUUCAGGCUGAGCAUGGCUUCUCUGAGGCUUUGGGACCAGGAGAGGGUGAAGUGGCACCACCACCUUUCAAGGGGAACACAGAGCUCUAAGCAGUGCUCUUGUUUUUGGUGGGCCCAGCCAAGGAUCUUAAAACAUUUUGAUAGAAUGAGCAACAUGUAGCUGCAGCCUCGAUGGGUCAACAUUUUGGAUGAUAAAAGCACACAAUGCUGAUAGAUUUGUGCAUGACCAAGCAUACCUUUCAAGGAGCUCUCAGCGGAGGUUUGCCCUUUGAGACAGACACAGUCAGUGCACAGAAACUGUUUUUUUAAGAUAUCAUCCAGGAGUCAUUCCUAGAAUAGGAAUGGAAUAGACAUGCCUCCCUGAGAAGAAAGGAAGACAGAUUCUAUACUGUUAGAAUUUGAAUCUGUGUUGCAGGGAGAUGAGGAAUUUGAAGCCAGACUCUUGGGCUGUUAAUGUAUGGCUAAGUGGUGAUGUGGUGACAACCUUGAAUGCUAGUCCUGGAGGUCAAAUCACCAGCAGCUGGUGCCAUGGGAGGCUUUGCUUAGGGGACACGGCUGGGUUCUGCCUGGAUGCUGCAUCCCAAGGGAGGCAUUGAGGUGCGGCUGUGAGGACUCCAAACCCCAUGUCCAGAAGGAUGAGUAACAGAGAUCCUGUGUCAUUCAUUGAUUUCAAUAAAAUAUUUAUUGGAUCCAUAGCAUGGGCCUGGCAUUGACCAGUCAUCAAAACACAAUUCCCUGCCCUCAUGGAGUUUCUAUUCUAGACCAUGCGGGAGGAUAGGAGCAUAUGGACAGUAAACAAGAAAUCCAGUCCUUCCAUGAGACCUCGGUACACACAGAACUCCUCCUACCACGUGCAACCUUAUUCUCGGCUGAGCAACUCAUAAAUCGCAUAACAAAAAC
RNAcentral lists this long non-coding RNA (1041 nucleotides) under Homo sapiens (human). Its description in RNAcentral is "HSALNT0395907". Lineage: Eukaryota; Metazoa; Chordata; Mammalia; Primates; Hominidae. The record is from RNAcentral.